GGCUUCUCAGGGUCACACCUGGAGAGUUCCCAGUACUCUACAAGUCUUGACUACAGGAGGAAGAGAUAGGCAGAGGUGUAUCUAUCCCAUUCCUAGCUUGGGCAGUGGCUAGCGAGUGGAAGGGAAUCUGCUACAAGU
Small nucleolar RNA from Ornithorhynchus anatinus (platypus), 138 nucleotides. Lineage: Eukaryota; Metazoa; Chordata; Mammalia; Monotremata; Ornithorhynchidae. The record is from RefSeq and is a predicted model, not a curated record.